AGCGGAAUAACGGUUUGAACCGAACCCUUACCAAAAGAUUUUUCCCCUAAAAUAACCGCCCUGUGAUGAUCUUGCAAAGCACCGGCCAAAAUUUCGGCGGCUGACGCCGAACCUUCAUUUAUCAUAACAACAAUCGGCAAAUUUUUCGCUAUAUCACCGGCUGUUGCGGAAAACUUAACCGUAUCUUCCUCAUUGCGAGAACGUGUGGAAACAAUCUCCCCUUGUUCCAAAAACAAAUCAGAAACUUUAACGGCCUGAUCUAACAAUCCACCCGGAUUAUUCCGA
This 285-nucleotide non-coding RNA is filed under the name bovine gut metagenome. The record is from RNAcentral.